GGGAAUUUUUUGUCGAAUUUGCUGAAGACGAAGCACUGACUGCAGGCCAGAACGGAGUCAUUUGCAGAGCCACCUGAAAGAAGAACUAAAUAAUAAAGUUAAAUAGCGGGCCAGCGGCACAAGCAGCCACACAGGCGGCGAAGCAGGCGGGAAGAGAGUCGUCGUGAAAGACUCAGAGUACACAGGUACGUAGAAUAAUGGUAAAAUAUAUAUUUAAAUUGUGCUUCGUUGCCUUCGUGUAUUUUCGCGUUAUAAACACGUUUGUGUUACUAACUUUCUGUAAGAACAUGUGAAUUUCCCGUUUUCCUCCCGCAGGGACAGUAGCAGGCAGGCGGUUAUGAAGCAGACGAGGAGUCGUGAGGCCACAGGAGUGACGUUCCACUGAUCUACAUGGAGUUUAAUAGGAUUGCUGGUAAGAACUUGAAAAAGGGAAUUUAACGAGACCCUUGACCAACAUAGUACAUGCCUCUUGGACAUUUUCAGAGCCAAAAAGGGAGUUGCUGGUCAGCUCUUGAUGAACCUUCUGAAGCAAACAAAGCUAUCAGAGCCAACAGAAGUCCGAACUCUGGUGCUUCAAGGACUACCCCUUUGGUUUGGAGAUGACUCUCCUGCUUUCUUUAAGACAUGUUUGCUCAAUUCUUGAUGUGCCAGUGGGGAUUGUGAUAGUUGAAGCUGGGACGACUCUUAAGCCCCUCAACUCUCUGCAUUCGUCUCCCUCUUCGAUUGGAAUAGUAAUCGAGGGAAAAUUAGGGAUGGACAAUCUACAUGACCUUCCUGAAGCAAUGUGCCUUCUGUUCUGACUAAUUUAUGCAUUGCACCUGAGUUACCCAAAGUCGCUGAUAUACACGUUUGACUUCAUUCAGCGCAUUCUACUUUCCUUGGGGCAGAAAGACCUGCAGCCUAAAACACAGUCUUUGGCAAACCAGCUGUUUGGUUAAAAUGGAGAAAUUGCAUAACGCACUUUUAAUAGCAACAGAUUUACAUUACACAUGGUCUUUUGAAAAUGAGACUGUUAAAAAUACGAGUUUACUGUUUUACUCAUGUGUCUUUUAAAAAUGAGCUUACUGUUUUGCUCGUGUUUUGUAAAUUGUGAGCUUACUGUUAUGAAUAUGAGCUUACUGGGUUUUUUUUUAAUGUGAGCUCAAUGUUUUGUAAAAAUGUUAGCUUACUGUUAAACAUGAGCUUAUUUUUUUUAAUGUGACUUAAAAAUGCAGCUUACUGUUAAAAAUUAGCUUACUGUUAAAAAUAUGAGCUUAAAGUGCCAUUCAAGUGUCUUAAUGUGGCUUAAAAAUAUAAGCUUGAUGUGAGCAAUGUUUCCUAAAUUAAUGUACAUGUAUAAACCAAAUAAAGCAGUUUAUGGAAAUACAA
Molecule: long non-coding RNA, 1368 nt
Organism: Cyprinus carpio (common carp)
Lineage: Eukaryota; Metazoa; Chordata; Actinopteri; Cypriniformes; Cyprinidae
Exons: 5
Source: RefSeq, a predicted model, not a curated record